AAGUCGUAACAAGGUUUCCGUAGGUGAACCUGCGGAAGGAUCAUUAACGAGUUUUGAAAGGGGUUGUCGCUGGCCUUUCACGAGGCAUGUGCACACCCUGCUCAUCCACUCUCAACCUCUGUGCACUUAUUGUAGGUCGGUGGAAGGCUCGCAAGAGCUGGAAGCCUGCUUAUGUUUUACUACGAACGCUUCAGUUAUAGAAUGUUUACUUGCGUAUAACGCAUUUAUAUACAACUUUCAGCAACGGAUCUCUUGGCUCUC
RNAcentral lists this unclassified non-coding RNA (261 nucleotides) under Hyphodermella rosae. Its description in RNAcentral is "partial internal transcribed spacer region". The stretch from base 1 to 46 matches the Rfam family "Eukaryotic small subunit ribosomal RNA", at positions 1786 to 1831 of the family's 1831-position model. The record is from RNAcentral. Lineage: Eukaryota; Fungi; Basidiomycota; Agaricomycetes; Polyporales; Phanerochaetaceae.